GGUUGCUCAGUGGUAGAGUACGUGCCUUGCAAGCAUGAGGCCCUGAGUUUGAUUCUUCAGAAUCA
RNAcentral lists this transfer RNA (65 nucleotides) under Dipodomys ordii (Ord's kangaroo rat). It matches the Rfam family "tRNA". From Rfam's summary of the family: Transfer RNA (tRNA) molecules are approximately 80 nucleotides in length. Their secondary structure includes four short double-helical elements and three loops (D, anti-codon, and T loops). Further hydrogen bonds mediate the characteristic L-shaped molecular structure. tRNAs have two regions of fundamental functional importance: the anti-codon, which is responsible for specific mRNA codon recognition, and the 3' end, to which the tRNAs corresponding amino acid is attached (by aminoacyl-tRNA synthetases). tRNAs cope with the degeneracy of the genetic code in two manners: having more than one tRNA (with a specific anti-codon) for a particular amino acid; and 'wobble' base-pairing, i.e. permitting non-standard base-pairing at the 3rd anti-codon position. Lineage: Eukaryota; Metazoa; Chordata; Mammalia; Rodentia; Heteromyidae. The record is from Rfam by way of RNAcentral.